This 322-nucleotide ribosomal RNA is filed under the name uncultured eukaryote. RNAcentral describes it as "partial 18S ribosomal RNA". It matches the Rfam family "Eukaryotic small subunit ribosomal RNA", at positions 1470 to 1796 of the family's 1831-position model. The record is from RNAcentral.
CCCUUAUAUAUCCUGGGCUGCACGCGUGCUACACUGAUGCAUACAACAAGCUCCGAGACCGAAAGGUCAAGGUAAUCUCUAAUAUGCAUCGUGAUGGGGAUAGACCCUUGCAAUUAUGGGUCUUGAACGAGGAAUUCCUAGUAAAUGCAAGUCAUCAUCUUGCGUUGACUACGUCCCUGCCCUUUGUACACACCGCCCGUCGCACCUACCGAUUGAAUGGUCCGGUGAAAUCUUCGGAUCUGAGAGAUGUCUGAUUAAUUUCGGACGCCUUUUGGAAAAGUUGUUUAAACCUUACCAUUUAGAGGAAGGUGAAGUCGUANCA